RNAcentral lists this ribosomal RNA (253 nucleotides) under uncultured bacterium. RNAcentral's name for it is "partial 16S ribosomal RNA". It matches the Rfam family "Bacterial small subunit ribosomal RNA", at positions 524 to 776 of the family's 1533-position model. The record is from RNAcentral.
UACGUAGGGUGCGAGCGUUAAUCGGAAUUACUGGGCGUAAAGCGUGCGCAGGCGGUUCGUUGUGUCUGAUGUGAAAGCCCCGGGCUUAACCUGGGAAUGGCAUUGGAAACUGGCGGGCUUGAGUAUGGCAGAGGGGGGUGGAAUUCCGCGUGUAGCAGUGAAAUGCGUAGAGAUGCGGAGGAACACCGAUGGCGAAGGCAGCCCCCUGGGCUAACACUGACGCUCAGGCACGAAAGCGUGGGGAGCAAACAGG